Molecule: long non-coding RNA, 1292 nt
Organism: Dicentrarchus labrax (European seabass)
Lineage: Eukaryota; Metazoa; Chordata; Actinopteri; Moronidae
Exons: 2
Source: RefSeq, a predicted model, not a curated record
AGUGUACUGUACAAAGAUCUUCAUCUAGACUAGAGAGGAGGAACCACUCCGUCUUUGAAAUAAACGGCCCUGGAUACAAUUCAAUUCAAUUCAAUUCAAAGAGGCUUUAUUGGUGUGGGAACCAGAGGUUUACAUUGUCAAACCAAGUGUAAGAUAUAUGUAUAUACAGAUGUCGUUGUCUACAAUUAUUAACAGUCAAACCUUUUAACAUUGGCCAAAUUGACAAACUAUCAAUGCUGACACAAUGUACCUAGAUGUAAACAGUCUAGGCAACUAUUUGACUUCAUAUGACCAACACACUAGUAAAAUAAAUACCUAAAUUGUCAUCACUUCAAGUCAAACUGCAAAAAUAAAAUAAAUGUCAUUGUUUUAACAACAUCUCAUCAGCUUAUGCGUCAGUGCCAGAAGAGUGUGAACAGUUUCUGGUCCAGUAUGUCCACCUGGGAGAUCAAAGACAGACAUACAGACAAUAUCUCACUCUGACUGAAAGGAUUUAUUAAGCUGCAGAUAGUUUGUGCAGCUGGACAGUCUGCUAACAGUGAUACAACCAGGCAGGUAUGUAACCCCCUUAUGCCACAUUGUUGUGCUUUAUCACAAUAUUCCACAGUUAUGCAGCAGAAGUAAAACAGUCAGUUACUAUGAUACAGACUUACUGUUUGGCUUACUGUUCACUCUGUGGCUCUGAAAAGAUUUUGUGGGGGAAAAGAUCUUAAGUGGAGUGAAGCAAAUGAAUCAGAAAAGAAAAGGAAGAAGCAACCCAUUCCCUUCACCGUCCUGCAUGAGAUGCUGUAUUGAUCCUCACCAUUUUGUCAAGAUAGUCCCUCUAAAUAUAUUAUCCAUCUACAGGGUCAAACUUGUAAAGUUGCUUUUUGUGUUUUUAUGAUUAGAUUUGCGAUCUGCAACUACACCGCCAGAUGCCACUAAGUCCUACACACUGGACCUUUAAAACAUGGGUAUUAAGCACAAUAUCCCAGAGUAAUAUGAACAGAGUGAGAGAUCUUCACUUCUUCAACACAGCCUCCACCCUUUGUGACAGCCUCCUAAUCAGUCUUCUGUAUAGUUUUGCUUCUCAAGGAAGAAGAAAAGAAAGUGAUACAAAUUGAAAUCGCCACAGCUGAAUCCCGGCUCCACUUUAUGCUUACUUAUCAAAAUCUACAAACAGUUUAUGUGAUUACCUGUGUAAGUUCUUUUGUGUAUGUUUAAAGCUUUCGUCUUAAAGGCAUACACAAAAUGUUGUAGUUUUGCUACUCACCUCUGAUGCAAUAUUUAAUAAUAAAAAUGUACCCAAAUCA